This 404-nucleotide ribosomal RNA is filed under the name Ecphylus nr. silesiacus MG-2014. RNAcentral's name for it is "partial 28S ribosomal RNA". Lineage: Eukaryota; Metazoa; Arthropoda; Insecta; Hymenoptera; Braconidae. The record is from RNAcentral.
CCUGAGAAACCYAAAAGAUCGAAUGGGGAGAUUCAUCGUCAGCGCACUUCUAUNNGUAUGAGUUAUGAUACGGGUUACUUUCGAGUAUUGCCUGUACAUACUUGUAUGUUUGGAGGUGUUGUCGGCGUGCACUUCUCCCCUAGUAGAACGUCGCGACCCGYUGGAUGUCGGUUUAUGAUCCGAGUGGUAGYCUUUAUUGUUAUUAACAUUAAAGACCCUUGGURUUCUAAUCGGCUGYCCGGCGGUACUCGUACGGUAUUUAGCCGCAUUUAUGCGUCYNUGUCUGUCRCAAGUGCGGUUAGUUUCUGGUAUACGGACCUAGUGCCGUCGCUGGAGCUCGCCACCUGUUGGUGACAGAAUNUAAGACUGGCUAAAACAUAUACCGGUCUGCGAUGCUACUGCUU